RNAcentral lists this ribosomal RNA (331 nucleotides) under Escherichia coli. RNAcentral's name for it is "bacterial SSU rRNA". It matches the Rfam family "Bacterial small subunit ribosomal RNA", at positions 269 to 592 of the family's 1533-position model. Lineage: Bacteria; Pseudomonadati; Pseudomonadota; Gammaproteobacteria; Enterobacterales; Enterobacteriaceae. The record is from RNAcentral.
CUAGGCGACGAUCCCUAGCUGGUCUGAGAGGAUGACCAGCCACACUGGAACUGAGACACGGUCCAGACUCCUACGGGAGGCAGCAGUGGGGAAUAUUGCACAAUGGGCGCAAGCCUGAUGCAGCCAUGCCGCGUGUAUGAAGAAGGCCUUCGGGUUGUAAAGUACUUUCAGCGGGGAGGAAGGGAGUAAAGUUAAUACCUUUGCUCAUUGACGUUACCCGCAGAAGAAGCACCGGCUAACUCCGUGCCAGCAGCCGCGGUAAUACGGAGGGUGCAAGCGUUAAUCGGAAUUACUGGGCGUAAAGCGCACGCAGGCGGUUUGUUAAGUCAGA